This 105-nucleotide unclassified non-coding RNA is filed under the name uncultured fungus. Its description in RNAcentral is "sequence contains ITS1". Lineage: Eukaryota; Fungi. The record is from RNAcentral.
GUCUUUUUUUUUAUUUUAUAUAAAUAAAAUAUUUUUUUAUAAAGAUUGAAAUUUUGAAUACAUAAAAAAUUUCUAAUGAUCCUUCCGCAGGUUCACCUACGGAAA